This 253-nucleotide ribosomal RNA is filed under the name uncultured bacterium. Its description in RNAcentral is "partial 16S ribosomal RNA". It matches the Rfam family "Bacterial small subunit ribosomal RNA", at positions 524 to 776 of the family's 1533-position model. The record is from RNAcentral.
GACGGAAGGUGCAAGCGUUGCUCGGAAUCACUGGGCGUAAAGGGUGCGUAGGCGGCCGUGCAAGUCUGGCGUGAAAGCCCCGGGCUCAGCCCGGGAAGUGCGCUCGAAACUGCGCGGCUCGAGUGCCGGAGGGGAGAGUGGAAUUCCUGGUGUAGCGGUGAAAUGCGUAGAUAUCGGGAGGAACACCAGUGGCGAAGGCGACUACCUGGCCUGUUCUUGACGCUGAGGCGCGAAAGCUAGGGGAGCAAACGGG